Molecule: unclassified non-coding RNA, 429 nt
Filed under: soil metagenome
Description: partial contains 5.8S ribosomal RNA, internal transcribed spacer 2, and large subunit ribosomal RNA
Rfam family: 5.8S ribosomal RNA (bases 1-120)
Source: RNAcentral
GAUGAAGAACGCAGUGAAAUGCGAUACGUAAUGUGAAUUGCAGAAUUCAGUGAAUCAUCGAAUCUUUGAACGCAUAUUGCGCUCUCUGGUAUUCCGGAGAGCAUGCUUGUUUGAGUAUCAGUAAACACCUCAACUCCCUUUUCUUUUUUGAAAUUGGAGCUGGACUUGAGUGAUCCCAACGCUUUCUUCCAAGAAAGUGGCGGGUUGCUUGAAAUGCAGGUGCAGCUGAACUUUUCUCUGAGCUAUAAGCAUAUCUAUUUAGUCUGCCUAAAAAACAGAUUAUUACCUUUGCUGCAGCUAACAUAAAGGAGACUAGUUCUUGUGCUGACUGAUGCAGGAUUCACAGAGACAGCUUCGGCUGACUUUGUAAACUCGAUCUCAAAUCAAGUAAGACUACCCGCUGAACUUAAGCAUAUCAUAAGCGGAGGA